Molecule: unclassified non-coding RNA, 316 nt
Filed under: plant metagenome
Description: partial contains 5.8S ribosomal RNA, internal transcribed spacer 2, and large subunit ribosomal RNA
Rfam family: 5.8S ribosomal RNA (bases 1-105)
Source: RNAcentral
GAAAGGAGAGAACUAGUGUGAAUUGCAGAAUUGCGUGAAUCAUCGAGUCUUUGAACGCACAUUGCGCCCCCUGGUAUUCCGGGGGGCAUGCCUGUCCGAGCGUCAUUGCUGCCCAUCAAGCACGGCUUGUGUGUUGGGUCGUCGUCCCCUCUCCGGGGGGGACGGGCCCCAAAGGCAGCGGCGGCACCGCGUCCGAUCCUCGAGCGUAUGGGGCUUUGUCACCCGCUCUGUAGGCCCGGCCGGCGCUUGCCGAACGCAAAUCAAUCUUUUUCCAGGUUGACCUCGGAUCAGGUAGGGAUACCCGCUGAACUUAAGC